CCUACGGGUGGCAGCAGUAGGGAAUAUUGCUCAAUGGGGGAAACCCUGAAGCAGCAACGCCGCGUGGAGGAUGAAGGUUUUCGGAUUGUAAACUCCUUUUGUUAGAGAAGAUAAUGACGGUAUCUAACGAAUAAGCACCGGCUAACUCCGUGCCAGCUGCCGCGGUAAUACGGAGGGUGCAAGCGUUAUACGGAAUCACCGGGCGUAAAGAGCGCGUAGGCGGGAUAGCAAGUCAGAUGUGAAAUCCUAUGGCUUAACCAUAGAACUGCGUUUGAAACUGUUAUUCUAGAGUAUGGGAGGGGUAGGGGGGAUUCGUGGUGGAGGGGUAAAAUCCGUAGAGAUCAAGAGGAAUACUCAUUGCGAAGGCGACCUGCUAGAACAUAACUGACGCUGAUGCGAGGAAGCGUGGGGAGCAAACAGGAUUAGAUACCCUGGUAGUC
Molecule: ribosomal RNA, 440 nt
Filed under: uncultured bacterium
Lineage: Bacteria
Description: partial 16S ribosomal RNA
Rfam family: Bacterial small subunit ribosomal RNA
Source: RNAcentral